UAUAGCCCACCGUCGGAAAGCAUAUGAUAAAUUCUUCGUGACGAAACUAAGUCCUAACAAUCAAACGGUUAACGGAAAAUCUAAACUGUUCGAAAAUUCACCAAGUUCAAUACGCUCCACAAUUCACUUUAAGCCCGCAACGUUUUAACCAUAAUACGCGGCAUGUAAGGAAAAAUUCGUAACCAAGCUUCUAGAGCUAUACGAAACAUCCUAAAAAAUCCACGAAAUAGAUCUCGGAAGGCCAACUCUUCACAAAGCACCAUGAAGGAAAACGCUUGUACCCAUGGACAAAUUUCGACGACACCUCAGUCAUAAUUCCUCUAUCGCAAAU
This 331-nucleotide long non-coding RNA is filed under the name Brassica napus (rape). RNAcentral describes it as "long non-coding RNA (BNAP_LNC022883)". The record is from RNAcentral. Lineage: Eukaryota; Viridiplantae; Streptophyta; Magnoliopsida; Brassicales; Brassicaceae.